AUCUACAGCCAUGUUACCCUGAACAAGCCUGAUCCUGUCUAAUCUUAAAAGCUAAGCAGGGGUGAGCCUGGUUAGUACUUGAAUGGGAGACCUCUUAGGAAGACCAGGUGCUAUAGGUG
RNAcentral lists this ribosomal RNA (119 nucleotides) under Pteropus alecto (black flying fox). Lineage: Eukaryota; Metazoa; Chordata; Mammalia; Chiroptera; Pteropodidae. The record is from RNAcentral.